CAGUUCAGUUUUAUUGGUUGCACGCACAGUCAGUUAUUUCAUCCAGAAAAUCUGAGGGCCCUACAAAGCUAACCAGGUCACAGGCRAAACAGCGGAGCACCAGAAGCCUUGAGGUGAGGCUUUCUACUGUGCAACCCAACCACUGAAAGUGCCGGCUAAAUAGUUUUGCAAGUGGCUACUAACACACGCGCUGCUUAAAUGAUAACUGUAAAUGAGAGAACACUGCGUUCCCUGCAAACCUGAAGACUUCUCUGCCAUUGUUUUAUGGGCAAAUAUGUGGUAUGUCACACAAUACAUGAUGCAAAGAAAGGAGAGGAAUGGGAGGCAAACGGAGCAGCUGUGCAGCGCCCCAACGCGUGACUGGGAUUUACCGUCUGGGCAGCGGUGCUGGGCUGCCAAGGGUUUCCGCCAGCGCUUCAUCUCCCACCUGCCUGCUGUGAGGUGCCCUCGCAGGACCUCCUCGCACUGUUCCACCCACAGGAUGAGGCGUAGAGGAGGCUUCUUAAAGAACAGCGUUUGAAAACACAUGCUUUCAGGCACUAACAUGUUUCUGGAUAACAAGUUUCUYUUAAAAGGAGUGUUGAAGUACGUGGAAACAUUUGAUUAGCUGAAGUUGUGCAAUGCUGCCUCUCCGCAAACAGUGAGAUACAAAACUUGGAGAAACUCUUCACUGCUGAAAAUGGUCRUGUCAUUUCCAGGGUGGAUGUACUGGAAAGAAAGAUUUGGUUUAAAUCAAGUCUAAAAUACAGCAACUGCCAACUCUCAGUUUUAAAUAGACUUUUUAAUUUUUUUUUCCUGUUCUGCUGACCUUUUCCAGUGUAAUUCCAUUCUGUUCAGUCUCUGGGUUUUUACAUUUACAUAAAAUCUUCCAACAGUAAAUUAAGUUACAUGGCUAAAAUCAGUCGUCUAUAGUUUGUUUUCUCUUUCUUAAUUCUAUCCCAUCCCUGAGAAAUGGGGGGAGGGUGGCUGGGAAUAAUAGGAAAGAAAGACUAUUAAUGCAGUAUUUCUGAUAUGGUGAGAAUGCAAAAGUACUGCAGCAGGCUCUUGUG
Molecule: long non-coding RNA, 1049 nt
Filed under: Dromaius novaehollandiae (emu)
Lineage: Eukaryota; Metazoa; Chordata; Aves; Casuariiformes; Dromaiidae
Description: lncRNA (ENSDNVG00000016413.1)
Source: RNAcentral